GGGCGCAAGCCUGAUCCAGCCAUGCCGCGUGCGGGAAGAAGGCCUUCGGGUUGUAAACCGCUUUUGUCAGGGAAGAAAUCCCUUGAGCUAAUACCUCGGGGGGAUGACGGUACCUGAAGAAUAAGCACCGGCUAACUACGUGCCAGCAGCCGCGGUAAUACGUAGGGUGCAAGCGUUAAUCGGAAUUACUGGGCGUAAAGCGUGCGCAGGCGGUUAUGUAAGACAGGUGUGAAAUCCCCGGGCUUAACCUGGGAACUGCACUUGUGACUGCAUAGCUUGAGUGCGGCAGAGGGGGAUGGAAUUCCGCGUGUAGCAGUGAAAUGCGUAGAUAUGCGGAGGAACACCGAUGGCGAAGGCAAUCCCCUGGGCCUGCACUGACGCUCAUGCACGAAAGCGUGGGGAGCAAACAGGAUUAGAUACCCUGGUAGUCCACGCCCUAAACGAUGUCAACUGGUUGUUGGACGGCUUGCUGUUCAGUAACG
RNAcentral lists this ribosomal RNA (482 nucleotides) under uncultured bacterium. Its description in RNAcentral is "bacterial SSU rRNA". It matches the Rfam family "Bacterial small subunit ribosomal RNA", at positions 373 to 848 of the family's 1533-position model. The record is from RNAcentral.